Molecule: unclassified non-coding RNA, 328 nt
Filed under: soil metagenome
Description: partial contains 5.8S ribosomal RNA, internal transcribed spacer 2, and large subunit ribosomal RNA
Rfam family: 5.8S ribosomal RNA (bases 1-119)
Source: RNAcentral
GAUGAAGAACGUAGCGAAAUGCGAUACGUAAUGUGAAUUGCAAAUUCAGUGAAUCAUCGAGUCUUUGAACGCACAUUGCGCCCCUGGGUAUUCCGAGGGGCAUGCCUGUUCGAGCGUCAUUAUAACCCCUCAAGCUCAGCUUGGUGUUGGGGCCUGCUGCACUGGCAGCCCUUAAAAUCAGUGGCGGCGCCAUCUGGCUCUAAGCGUAGUAAUUCUUCUCGCUAUGGAGUCCUGGUGGAUGCUUGCCAUCAACCCCCAAUUUUUCUAUGGUUGACCUCGGAUCAGGUAGGGAUACCCGCUGAACUUAAGCAUAUCAAUAAGCGGAGGA